GAGGAAUCCCACUUGAGCAUGAACAAAAGAGAGUGUCUCCCUUGUCAUUUCACCUUCAUUUUGAAGUUCUUCAACCAGUGAUAUUGCUUCCCUAAAGUUUUUCUUUCGCAAUAAGUCUUUUAUUUGUUCUUCCGAAGGCACCUUCCGAUAACACAUAACCUUUGAAUCUGUUGCCACAAGGACAAGCUUUCCUCUUCCAUCCUCCUCAUCAGCCACAACACAAGGACUACCUACUUCCCCAACAAUUUGAACUCGCUGAACAUAAUUCCCUGAUUUCUUAUGAUACAGCUCCAACUUCCCACUCCUUACCACCACAACGUAUGCCCCUAUCUCCCCCAUGGUCUCUGGAGCUUCGCUGAAAACUAAACUA
Molecule: unclassified non-coding RNA, 370 nt
Filed under: Hevea brasiliensis (rubber tree)
Lineage: Eukaryota; Viridiplantae; Streptophyta; Magnoliopsida; Malpighiales; Euphorbiaceae
Source: RNAcentral